GAGGGUUUUUCUCUAAAUCUGUUUUUUCACUCGAUAAAUUGACAAAUUCUCAUGAGAGAAAAAAAACAUGCACUAGAACGAAUCUAAACAUCGUCCUAAACCAGAACUGGACAUGACAUAUUAAACCUCGCACACACCAUGCGAUAGGUGGGGGCCUCUCACCAGAGGGGCGGAGGCCCACACAUGGCGUGGCUGGGCCGGCGGGCGAAGGCAGAGGGGGCUGGGCCUCGGGGAGCAGGGCCCACGCCAGGGCGCAUGUCCACGUGCACUGGAGGCAAGGG
Molecule: long non-coding RNA, 281 nt
Filed under: Hordeum vulgare
Lineage: Eukaryota; Viridiplantae; Streptophyta; Magnoliopsida; Poales; Poaceae
Description: long non-coding RNA (HVUL_LNC004519)
Source: RNAcentral